UUGGUUAUUUUAAAGGAUUUCAAUACAAUAGGAUCACGAGACAUUGAAGGCUUGUAUUUCUACAGCUGGAGUGAAUGAAAUGAUGAAAGAUCAGUUUGCUGGCUCUGCUUUUGAAUGGAGAAUCGGUGAGGGAAGAGGGAAUCUCUGGUGGUGCAAAUAUUGUUGCUACCAUUCAGCCGCCUCCAACCCAGAUGGACAAUGAGGGAUGAUAGAUUUCCUCACUCCUGGAUUAGCCCGUUCUUGCUUGCUCUCCUGUCUACCUCACAAGAGAAUUCCACGGGAAGCCCAGUUUUCUAUUCCUCAAAAUCAAAAAAGUCACAUUAUGGAGGCUCAGUCUGUUGUGAAAUGACUUUGUAAAUCAUUAUCUUAUUCAUACCUCCACAUAUCCAGAAAGAGGAAAAUCUUUCCUGAAAGGAUGACCUUCAAAACCGUAAUCUGUAAGGAUUCGCCUCAGAUCUGGAUGGUUGGCAAAGAAUACUCCAAACAUAUCCCAGACCUAGAAAGACAGAAAUUGGGUAAGUGAACAGCUCAGGAUGUUGACUUUACAGACGCUACCUGAUUAGCCUGAUUUGGAUGAUUUUCCAAACAGGAAAUAUUAGCUAUUAAUUGCUAGGAAUGUAGGCAGCUGAUAGAAACAACUGGAACUUAAAUUAACAAAUGCUUGAGAUCUACGAAACUAUCAGUUGUUUUAUUUAUUUAUCAAAUUUAUAUAGCUGUCCCAUCUCACCAGAAGUUACUCUGAGUAACAGAACCACUGUUUCACCAUUGUCGAAGUAAAUCACCAAGGGUAAGCACGAAAUGAGGAAAAUAUUUUGUUUUGAAACUGGAACAAACCAGAUCAUCCAGUUUGGCAAAAAUAAAA
Molecule: non-coding RNA, 862 nt
Organism: Pantherophis guttatus
Lineage: Eukaryota; Metazoa; Chordata; Lepidosauria; Squamata; Colubridae
Source: RefSeq, a predicted model, not a curated record